UUAAAAAGCUCGUAGUCGGAUUUUGGCUGAGAACGGUCGGUCCGCCGUUAGGUGUGCACUGACUGGUCUCAGCUUCCUGGUGAGGAGGUGUGCUUCAUCGCCACUUAGUCACCGUGGUUACUUUGAAAAAAUUAGAGUGUUCAAAGCGGGCUUACGCUUGAAUAUAUUAGCAUGGAAUAACACCAUAGGACUCCUGUCCUAUUUCGUUGGUCUCGGGACGGGAGUAAUGAUUAAGAGGAACAGUUGGGGGCAUUCGUAUUUCAUUGUCAGAGGUGAAAUUCUUGGAUUUAUGAAAGACGAACUUCUGCGAAAGCAUUUGCCAAGGAUGUUUUCAUUGAUCAAGAACGAAAGUUGGGGGCUCGAAGAUGAUUAGAUACCAUCCUAGUCUCAACCAUAAACGAUGCCGACUAGGGAUUGGCGGAUGUUAAUUGAUGACUUCGCCAGCACCUUAUGAGAAAUCAAAGUUUUUGGGUUCCGGGGGGAGUAUGGUCGCAAAGGCUGAAACUUAAAGGAAUUGACGGAAGGGCACCACCAGGCGUGGAGCCUGCGGCUUAAUUUGACUCAACA
RNAcentral lists this ribosomal RNA (567 nucleotides) under uncultured marine eukaryote. Its description in RNAcentral is "SSU rRNA". It matches the Rfam family "Eukaryotic small subunit ribosomal RNA", at positions 619 to 1205 of the family's 1831-position model. The record is from RNAcentral.